GUCCAUGCUGUAAACUAUGAGAACUUGCUGUUGGAUGCAUAAAGGCAUUUAGUAGCGAAGCUAACGCGUUAAGUUCUCCGCCUGGGGAGUACGGCCGCAAGGCUAAAACUCAAAGGAAUUGACGGGGGCCCCGCACAAGCGGUGGAGCAUGUGGUUUAAUUCGAUGCAACGCGAAGAACCUUACCUACUCUUGAAUCCACGGAAUCCUGCAGAGAUGCGGGAGUGCCUUCGGGAACCGUGAGACAGGUGCUGCAUGGCUGUCGU
Molecule: ribosomal RNA, 264 nt
Filed under: uncultured bacterium
Lineage: Bacteria
Description: partial 16S ribosomal RNA
Rfam family: Bacterial small subunit ribosomal RNA
Source: RNAcentral